RNAcentral lists this transfer RNA (51 nucleotides) under Glycine max (soybean). Its description in RNAcentral is "tRNA-OTHER". It matches the Rfam family "tRNA", at positions 16 to 63 of the family's 71-position model. Rfam says of the family: Transfer RNA (tRNA) molecules are approximately 80 nucleotides in length. Their secondary structure includes four short double-helical elements and three loops (D, anti-codon, and T loops). RNAcentral also lists the same sequence under 1 other name. The record is from RNAcentral. Lineage: Eukaryota; Viridiplantae; Streptophyta; Magnoliopsida; Fabales; Fabaceae.
UAGGUAGAACGCGGGUCUCCAAAACCCGAUGUCGUAGGUUCAAAUCCUACA